GGAUCAGAUGUAAUAUCAGUGACUGGUAGACUAGACAGUGGGGCAUUUCAGGUGUGGGAGAUGGGAGGGCAAGAGAUUAAAUCCAGGCAAGAGACAUGGGGACCCUAGAUUUCCACACACACAUAUAAAGAAAACUUAUUUAGUCUAUUUCCUGGUAUCUAUCUAUCUAUCUAUCUAUGAAGUCAUAGUUUGCUUUAUUUUUAUACCUAUGCAUAUACUUUGAGCAAUGCUACCAUCCCUGUGGUGGUCUGAGAUACUAGCUCAUGUCUUGCUGUCUCUUCCUUCCUUCUCUUCCCUCCCCUUCUCAUCCUUUGACUAACCUUUGGGGCUUUUGGAUAGAAAUGAAAGAGAGAGAGAGAGAACAAAUAACACACUCGCAGAAAGGGCAAGUGAGUCCAUUGUUAGAGAUGAUACUAGAUCUCUACAGGUUUUUCACUGACUGAGAUUAUGGGGAGUUGAGCCUGCCCAUUCAUCCCCACGCUGUUCUGGAGUGGAAUCCAGUGGCUCUGAAGCAAUCCCGCUCCAGAGCAUCUAAAGGGAGUGGCUGAAUGUUAGCUGGAGACUAACAGUCAUGCCUGUGCUGGCCCGUAGCACCUUGACCCAAGAAACUCCUAGAAGGAAUAGUGUGGGGUGGAGACGUCUGGGGAGAAUUUUGUGAGGCCGCCACCUGGAAUUCAGUCCCAGAAAAGAUCUGGCCUAGUGAUCCCGGCUGCAGAUUCCUAGAAGUGUGGUGGCAUGCAGCAUUUUGUGCCACAUUUUCAGUUAUUCUUGUGAAUUGGAAAAGUAAAUGCCACCAGAGAGGAACUGGCACAGUCCUGGGACACUAUCUGUGAGAGGAGACCCAAGCGGUAAUGUUAGGCAUGGCUGGGAGCCUGAGGAUGGGUAGAAGGUUUCUCCUGAUGUCUUGCCUGUACCUUUUAUAGGACUGCACCACCUUUUAGAAGAGUUUCACCCAGACACUGAGUUUCUGGCAUAUUUGAGCAGGAAACAUUGUGUGCCACCCUAAGAAUUCCAGACCUUACAUAUACUGGAGGGGCCACGCCCUUGCAAGCCUUGGCAGCUGUCUUCUGGGUGCUAGCCAUUUCCUCUUACCUGCCAAGAGCUCCGAGGGAUGUGUUGGCAGAUGGUGCAGGGUCAGAUGGUGCAAGCAGCCAGGAGAGUGCCUGGCUGCCAUCUCCUUGCCCUAUCCUUUCUCAUGAACUAGAACAAAAAGGCAAUACUGAUCCUCCUCCCCAAAGAAAAUAUGAUACCACCCAUGAGUUACUGUCUUAGGGAAUUUGAACCUGAAAGGAGCUAAGAGGUCUUAUGAAUGGGGAGGGUUCUGUUUACAUAUUUGGGUGUUCUGGGAAGAGUAGAUUGGGGUGGAGCUGAAAUCUGACUCCCGAUCAUCACUUUCUAUGAACCUGAUGGGAUCCUGCCACUCAUGAAGGGCUCCAAGAUCAGUUGCUCACAAUGCUUCCCAUUUUCAAUGGCACAGUGGAACAUGAGCUUGGAGGGGCUUCAACACUAGACUCCUGUGGAACUGUCCAUUUUGGCAGGUGACAGAUCAUUCCAGAGUGUCUUCAGGAGGUCAGGGGAGUAUGCAAUAAGAUUCUUCAGAGAAGUUGAGCAUGAUAAAGCUCACAUUCUAUGUCCUAUCCCAGUGUGUGACUUCCUCUAACCUACCAUAGCAUCCACACAAGCAGGAGUUUACUUCAUUGCACUGUUGACUCUUGACUCUUGGAGUCACCCCACCCCCACCCCCAUGUCUCCAUAGCCUAUUUCUCCCUCUGGCACACAUACAACCAGCAGAAUCGAUUACUCCAGCACUAUAGGCACCUCGAGACUAAUAUUCCCAGUAGUCCCAGAUUUACUCCCAAACUCCUUUCCUUCUACGUCCAACCCGAGGCUUCAGCCUUAGAAACCUCAGCAAAAGGGAUUGCUGACCUCCACAAACCCACCCAAUUCCUCAGUGGGCUACGCUUCACGUUUGGGAGGAAAGGUAAGAUGAGGGUCAUAUCCAUCACCUGGAAAUUUUGGAGUUUGGGAAGGACUUCUGCUCCCUCUUUUCUUGGCCAUGAGUUAGUGCUCAGAAAGGUGAUGGUGGCUAGAAUGUUCGAGGGGUAGCCCAACAUAAAUUUCUAGUUUCUCUAAAGGACCAGGGACUUCCAAAGGCAUGUGGGGCAACGUGGUUUGAAAUUUGAUUGUAGGUGGAACAAGCAAAAUUUCCUGUCUUAUGUAACCUUUCAGUUAGUGGAAUGGAUUGUCACGACCAGGGAUGAAGACUCUGUCCUGUGAUUGGAACACGCCCCUUUGGUAUGUUACAUUUGGUAGAAGGAAUAUUGAACGUUGGUGCUUUUACCCUUUGGUAGGAGAUAGGGGCUCUAUAGCUUUGUUAUAGUUUUGCUACUUUUCCCCACCUAUAUAAAAAAUAAGAUUUGGGAGUAGACAAAUCAACUGGGAAUUCCUCUCUCAAGACUCAGUGUGGGCCCACGUGAUUACUUUUUAUCACCAACCAGGAGUUUGAUUGCUCCUUGGUUUUGUUUUUUGUUGUUGUUGAGGCUCUACCUCUGCUCUCUGCUUAGCUGGUCAUGUAGAGCCCCUUGGGGAAAUGUAGACGUUAAGAGUGGGAGGGACAGGAGAUCGACGCAGCACUUUUCUUGUAGGUAAGGGAUUGACUACAGUGUUGGAGUAUUGUCCGGGAAAUGACUACUGUGUCUAGGGACUGGGGAUGGGUAUUUUAUGGAAUUAUCUUGAUCACUGGAGGGAGGAAUAGCAAAUUAAAUUGCUAUUCAUCAAGUUACAUGGAUAAAUAUAUUUCUGUAUCUCUGGAUGUAUCCAAUGUUGAAAAUAGACUUAAUUUCCUAACUACAAUUCCACCCGGACCUCAUUUCUCAACUACUAUUCCAUCCAGACUUAUUUUCCUAGCUAUGAUUCAUGGGCCAAACGACCAAGGGCGUAGAUGGGUGCUGCUAUCGCCAUUGACUCCUUCUUUUCCCAAGCCUAAUUGAAAGGGGCACAUCCUCCUUCAUGCCCACCACGUCUGGUCCCCUUUUUCGUCAACAGUUUUCCUCCCCCAGGAAAGACUUUAUCAUUCUGGAUGUAAUUCUUCCACUGCACACAUGGGGGCAAUUUUUAUAUGAACUUCUUUCCCUCGUUUCACCCUGUGGUUUCUAAGCCCACAGAAGGGUCGGGGGAUGAGCAGGCAGUGGGUUGGGAGGGACUCCGAUGCUGCCUUUCCAAGACUCCUUAGGAACUUAGUACCUCUCGGCACCCAGUGGCCUCUUACAUCAGUCUGUCUUUUCUGGUAAGUCUGGAUGUGAGUAUCAGUUUCGUCAUGGGAUUUCUUACUCUCAUUUCGAAAUUUUUUCUCUUCCUUAACUUUCUUUGGGGGCCACCCCUCAUCAAUGCCAGACGAUGUUCUGGUGAAGACCAUUUGAACCUCGUUUCCAUUUCUCGAAUGUUGAGUAUUACAAUGUAACUGCGCCAGGGUGCUCAAUGGUGCUGUUCUUGAAGAGACCAGUCGGACUGCGAUUGCCUUCCUUCUUCUGGUUCCUUAAAUCUUGCUGUAUUUUUGUCUUCUAUUUAAUUUUUUUCUCCCUAGGGGUUUGGGGUGGGAAAUUUAGGGGUGGUUCUGUGUUCUCUUCGUGUGUACGGGCCGGUUCAAAUCACUUGUAAUGGGAAGCUGGCUUCGUGGGGGUGGUUGGCCGGCUUUGGUUCAACAUUAAAGACAGACCAACAAAUUGUACAGCUGCACAUAGAAGAACACCACGGAGUGGGAAUAUGAAUGGCAACUAGAAGCUUAGUUUUUAAUCUUCAGGUAUGUAACUCAAAAGUAAAUAAAAACGCUAUUUUUUCAGUAAGCAUUUUUUUUCUUCCAAAAGACAACUUAGAAAUAUAAACUUUAGGAACGUUAAAUUGGUGCUGUACCAAAGCCUUAUAUGAACGUGUUCUAUACUCUGUAUACUCUGUCUCUGUUGAGCUUCCUGCUCUCUCACCCUGUUCUCAACAGCCUGGGAAUGCCAGCUGUGCCAAGCCUGAGGCUGGGUCUUGGGCACCUGUGAGCCAAGGGGAAGCCUUGGAGCAGAUGGGGUGGUGGUGGUGAGCAUGUGGGCCACCAUUCUAGUUCCUAAGUCAAGUGUGAAAGGAAACCAGGCGUGUGUGCGCACAUCCAUGUUUAUGUGUGGGGGUUGAUGCGCGUGCUUAAAGGUACCAAUGCCAAAGUGAAUCCAUGAACUGGGCCCUGAAAGGGAGGUCCACGUUGGCUCGGGGAGUGGAUGGAGUGGGAUGGGGAGAGUGCUUGCUCCCCUGUGUUCUGUCUCCCUCCCUUUUCUCUACCAGGGAAUGGAGACGCACUGGAAACAGCUACACUCUCAACCAGGUGCUUUUCCCUCAAACUAUCCAAACUCUUAAGGAUUUACAAAAGGCCCUUCCAAGGGGCGGGUACCUCCCACUAUCAAAUCACAGGCUUGCAGACUAGCAAGGGCCUUUUCUCCUACCCAAGCUUUCUUGGUUUCUUAGGGGAGAGGGCUCCUCUUGCAGGUCCCUGGGCUCCCCGUUCUUGGGUCCAGGCCUGCUCUAGCUGCCAUCACUCCAGGUGGACUGCUAUGGACUGACCUGCCCCUUUCUCUCAGUCCACAGAGAUGACCACGAAGCAAUAAUGCCUGCCCUGGCUAUGGAGAGUAGUGGCUCCUUUGGCCUUUGACUCUUGCCAGUUGACAAACUAAAUGACACCCUCACUUCAAUCAAUUAGGGAGCCAAUAUGCAGCCUGCUUCGUACCCAGGCUGUCAUGCCAGGCUCCACUCGCUGGCAUUUUCAGGCUUGCUGAGUACUAACCAAUUCAUCACCAGUGACACUCCAUAUCCAUCCUGAAUUGAACAUUAAAAUAAGCAAACACAGUAAAAAGGCAACUCAGAGGACUAGUGAUAUGGUCGAUGAAGGCCCCUGGAAGUGUUGCAAGUUAGACCAAUUGAGAGAAGUUUAGUGUUUAAUUGCUUCUCAUGUAACAUUACUCUGCUUCAGAAAUGUUUUGUAUUUUGAUAUAAAUAAACAUUUGCUAAAACAUG
Long non-coding RNA from Echinops telfairi (small Madagascar hedgehog), 5046 nucleotides. RefSeq lists it as uncharacterized. The record is from RefSeq and is a predicted model, not a curated record. The transcript is spliced from 2 exons. Lineage: Eukaryota; Metazoa; Chordata; Mammalia; Afrosoricida; Tenrecidae.